CCUGGAUGUAUUUGGUUGGAGCAAGGAUACUGUUAGGCCAUGAGGAAGACAGUGAAGGAAAUGGGAUUUCCAGAGAUCAGAAGCAGAGGCCCUCCAGUGAGGGAGGCACCCACACACUGCAUUUCCAGUUUCUGCACACUGCCUGGCACUCAGUCAACACUCCAUAAAUAUUUGUUGGAUCAGUGAUUGAAGAACACAGUGAUGAACGAAUGAAGAGGAACCCUAGAUCUGUUCCACUGAAGUCAUUCCUAUGGAUUAAGACGUUGUGUCAUGUUCAAAUGCAAAAAAACCAGGGCAAAUGUUUGUGGGAAAUGGUCUCGAUUUUUCUUAAUGAGGGCACAGACUCUAACAAUCUAGCAAGCACACCCUGCAGUCUAAACCGUUGCUACCUUAAUGGAUAACUGUCAAUCUGGCUGACAACAGCUCUCCUCGAAUUCCCCAGAGAGGCGGAAGAGAAGAGGGAGAGCCACAUAUUAAUUCUUGAAAGAAUUCAAUUAUGAAUGCUCCUU
Molecule: long non-coding RNA, 509 nt
Organism: Canis lupus familiaris (dog)
Lineage: Eukaryota; Metazoa; Chordata; Mammalia; Carnivora; Canidae
Exons: 3
Source: RefSeq, a predicted model, not a curated record